Molecule: ribosomal RNA, 497 nt
Filed under: uncultured bacterium
Lineage: Bacteria
Description: partial 16S ribosomal RNA
Rfam family: Bacterial small subunit ribosomal RNA
Source: RNAcentral
GAUGAACGCUGGCGGCGUGCUUAAUACAUGCAAGUCGAGCGAACAGACGAGGAGCUUGCUCCUCUGACGUUAGCGACGGACGGGUGAGUAACACGUGGAUAACCUACCUAUAAGACUGGGAUAACUUCGGGAAACCGGAGCUAUUACCGGAUAAUAUAUCGAACUGCAUGGUUCAAUAGUGAAAGACGGUUUUGCUGUCACUUAUAGAUGGAUCCGCGCCGCAUUAGCUAGUUGGUAAGGUAACGGCUUUCCAAGGCGCCGAAGGGUAGCCGACCUGAGAGGGUGGUCGGCCACACUGGAAGUGAGACACGGUCCAGACUCCUGCGGGAGGCAGCAGUAGGGAAUCUUCCGCAAAGGGCGAAAGCCUGACGGAGCAACGCCGCGUGAGUGAUGGAGGUCUUCGGAUCGUAAAACUCUGUUAUGAGGGAAGAACAAAUUUGUAAGUAACUAUGCACGUCUUGACGGUACCUAAACAGAAAGCCACGGCUAACUACGUG